CCCACUCCCAUCCCAAGGCGGCUGAGCCCUGGUCUGGUCAUCUGUUGUUCGUCAUCGUCGUGGAUUAGUCGCCGGUCUGGAUGCAAGAAUACUUCAUGCCCGGAGCGCCAAAACAGAAGAUUGUCCUAAAAAUUAACAAUGCUACUGUAUUUAGCGCUAUAAAGCCGACCAGUUACUCAUAGGCGCAUAGCUCCCACUCUAGCUCUCACGCACGCACGCACCCUCCACACUCGUCCACUCGCCUACGCUUCUCUGGGCCGGCCGGCCGGGGCUUGCUUGCACGCGCACGACGCCAUGGAUGGGCAGGAUGGCGGCCAGGGCCAGAGGCCGAAGCCCGACGGGAACCGGAACCCCAAGAGAGGCAGCAUCAUCAAGACCAUCAUCGCCGACUGGACCGGCGGCGGCGGGACGCCAACUACUUCCGCUGGCGGUGGCGGCGGGGGAGGAGGAGGAAACGAGGACACCGGCAACGGCGGCGGCUCAUAGCGAGCGAGCAUGGCUGCGCGCGUGCGUACGACGAGAUGGUUAGUUUGAGCCUAUGAAGCUAUACUACUGCUAAAUAACGCCUCUCGUUGUACGUGUGCCGGUGGUAAAAAGAACAUGCAUGUGUUUGUGUGAUUGUGUCUGAUUGUGUAGCUUAAUUGUCUUCUGGAUCUGUGGAUGGAUGGAUAUCAGCCCUCUUUGUUGAACCUAAACCUAAUAAUAUACUCCUUCCGUUCCGAAUUACUUGUCUUAGAUUUGUCUAGAUACGGAGGUAUCUAGCACUAAAAUGAGUCUAGAUACCUCUGUAUCUAGACAAUUUUAAGACAAUUAAUUUGGAACGAAGGGAGUAGUAGUAAUGAUGUUAUUUCUCCGUCUGUUGCUGUUCUUUUUGAUUGAUGUGCUGCUGGCCUGCCCUUUGCCG
This 904-nucleotide ribosomal RNA is filed under the name Triticum aestivum (bread wheat). Its description in RNAcentral is "partial small subunit ribosomal RNA". The stretch from base 702 to 836 matches the Rfam family "MIR1120/MIR1122 microRNA precursor family". Lineage: Eukaryota; Viridiplantae; Streptophyta; Magnoliopsida; Poales; Poaceae. The record is from RNAcentral.